GGACCCGCACAAGCAGCGGAGCAUGUGGUUUAAUUCGAAGCAACGCGAAGAACCUUACCAGAGCUUGACAUCCCUUUGACCGGUCCGUAAUGGGACCCUCUCUUCGGAGCAAAGGUGACAGGUGGUGCAUGGUUGUCGUCAGCUCGUGUCGUGAGAUGUUGGGUUAAGUCCCGCAACGAGCGCAACCCUUGUCAUUAGUUGCCAUCAUUCAGUUGGGCACUCUAGUGAGACUGCCGGGGACAACUCGGAGGAAGGUGGGGAUGACGUCAAAUCAUCAUGCCCCUUAUGUUCUGGGCUACACACGUGCUACAAUGGCCGGUACAGAGAGAAGCAAUAUCGUGAGGUGGAGCAAAACUCUAAAACCGGUCCCAGUUCGGAUUGUAGGCUGCAACUCGCCUACAUGAAGUCGGAGUUGCUAGUAAUCGCGAAUCAGAACGUCGCGGUGAAUGCGUUCCCGGGUCUU
This 463-nucleotide ribosomal RNA is filed under the name uncultured bacterium. RNAcentral describes it as "bacterial SSU rRNA". It matches the Rfam family "Bacterial small subunit ribosomal RNA", at positions 917 to 1382 of the family's 1533-position model. The record is from RNAcentral.